RNAcentral lists this ribosomal RNA (520 nucleotides) under uncultured Entrophospora. RNAcentral's name for it is "SSU rRNA". It matches the Rfam family "Eukaryotic small subunit ribosomal RNA", at positions 569 to 1088 of the family's 1831-position model. Lineage: Eukaryota; Fungi; Glomeromycota; Glomeromycetes; Entrophosporales; Entrophosporaceae. The record is from RNAcentral.
AGCAGCCGCGGUAAUUCCAGCUCCAAUAGCGUAUAUUAAAGUUGUUGCAGUUAAAAGCUCGUAGUUGAAUUUCGGGAUUGGCGCAUCGGUCGUGCCUCACGGGGUAUGAACUGGUGCAGUCAAUUUCUCACCUUCUGGAGAACCGCGAUGUCCUUAAUUGGAUGCCGCGGGGAACCAGGACCUUUACUUUGAAAAAAUUGAGUGUUUAAAGCAGGCAUUUUUGCUUGAAUACAUUAGCAUGGAAUAAUAAAUAGGACGGCAUGGUUCUAUUUGUUGGUUUCUAGGACCACCGUAAUGAUUAAUAGGGAUAGUUGGGGGCAUUAGUAUUCAAUUGUCAGAGGUGAAAUUCUUGGAUUUAUUGAAGACUAACUACUGCGAAAGCAUUUGCCAAGGAUGUUUUCAUUAAUCAAGACGAAAGUUAGGGAUCGAAGACGAUCAGAUACCGUCGUAGUCUUAACCAUAAACCUAUGCCGACUAGGAAUCAGACGAUGUUAUUUUUAANGUACUCGUUUUGGCACCU